CCCAGGACCAACUUGUUUACUGAUUGUUUUCACUUGGCACAACCAGUUAGCUAAACUUGCUUGACUAUAUGACCAGAGAGUCAUAAAAGACCCCACUGGGAAUUUACCUCCCGGUAGAUUAUCUCCUGAGGUCAAGAUUCAUUGUGCAGAUCUUGAAGGUUCAGUCUGGAGAGGAAGCCCUUGGAGAGCUAAGAAGGACCUUUUGGAGCUUGCGCAUGGGCUGUCUCUGGACCUCCAAUGCUUGCCUGCACUCUUCUCUUGCUGCACUGCAUGCAACCUCUGCCUGUGUAUUAAAGCCUUCUGUGACUCCGCCUUGUGGAUCCUGGUUAGAACGUGGAAGAAUUUUGACACUCCUUUAAAACAUCAAGUUUAUUACGCUCUGUUGAUGAUCUCGAAGCUGCAAACAGCUGUCAGACCUGUUGACUCUGACUCCUACAAACUUGAAGUAACUGCGCCUUCACCUUACUUUCUGCUACUAUUCCUGAAAAUGUGCUAAAUGAGAGGCCACUUACCUAGUUCUGGAGACACUGGGAACCCAGGAAGGCCUACUCAAGAAUGAAGAUAUUGACUGAGAACUCUUCAUCUGUGAGCAGAGAACAACACAUGGAAGGCUUCACUUUUGGUGGUGUGGGCUGAGAGCAUAAAGGCUGGCCUCAGCCCUGCCUCUGACAGCCAAAUAAAGAGAAAUUUAGGGGUGUCAACAUCCAUUCUGGAAGUUGUAGAUUUCCCCAGGCAGAUAAUUUAAUUUCUUAAUUUUUUAAAUGUAAAAAUAAAGAAGACAUAAUCCUUUGCACUACAGGAGCUUUUGCCAGAGAAUUG
RNAcentral lists this long non-coding RNA (819 nucleotides) under Equus caballus (horse). RNAcentral describes it as "lncRNA (ENSECAG00000048071.1)". Lineage: Eukaryota; Metazoa; Chordata; Mammalia; Perissodactyla; Equidae. The record is from RNAcentral.